UGGGGAAUAUUGCACAAUGGGCGCAAGCCUGAUGCAGCCAUGCCGCGUGUAUGAAGAAGGCCUUCGGGUUGUAAAGUACUUUCAGCGAGGAGGAAGGCGUUGUGGUUAAUAACCGCAGCGAUUGACGUUACUCGCAGAAGAAGCACCGGCUAACUCCGUGCCAGCAGCCGCGGUAAUACGGAGGGUGCAAGCGUUAAUCGGAAUUACUGGGCGUAAAGCGCACGCAGGCGGUUUGUUAAGUCAGAUGUGAAAUCCCCGGGCUCAACCUGGAACUGCAUUUGAAACUGGCAAGCUUGAGUCUUGUAGAGGGGGGUAGAAUUCCAGGUGUAGCGGUGAAAUGCGUUAGAGAUCUGGAGGAAUACCGGUGGCGAAGGCGGCCCCCUGGCACAAAGACUGACGCUCAGGUGCGAAAAGCGUGGGGAGCAAACA
This 429-nucleotide ribosomal RNA is filed under the name uncultured Enterobacteriaceae bacterium. RNAcentral's name for it is "bacterial SSU rRNA". It matches the Rfam family "Bacterial small subunit ribosomal RNA", at positions 355 to 774 of the family's 1533-position model. Lineage: Bacteria; Pseudomonadati; Pseudomonadota; Gammaproteobacteria; Enterobacterales; Enterobacteriaceae. The record is from RNAcentral.